CCUCCCACUCUCCCUCCUUUCUCUCACCAGUAUCUGCUGGCACCACCUGGAAGCAGCAGCUCAGACCCUCUCCUGACCUCUGCCACUCACCCAGGUGGUCUCCUCCCAGCAGGUGCAGCCACUAUGUCACCCUGGGCUUCUGUCCACCUGCCAGGACUUGGAGCCAAGCUGGGUCUCCUUGCAAUCCUGUGCGCCCUCCUGUUUCCCGAUGCUGGAAUGAAAUCCUCUGAAGCGUAUUACACACAGUGAUGCACACAGCUGUGAUUUCAUUCAGCAAAUGUGGUCUGGCACCUUUACUGCCUGAAAACAUGAUCUGCAUCCUUCCGUGUAAGGUUGCUAGAAAUUGGCUUCAUGUGAUCUUCACCAGGAGACUGAGAAGAUAGACUUUCACUUAAGACUUUGUGUAUCCCUGUCUUUGGGGGCACUGAUGUCCCUCCUGGUCAAAGGACAGGAGUGGGUGCUGAGGGGCAUAAAGGGUGGACUUCGUUGAAUGCCUUCUGUAUUCCCCUUAGAAUUGAUUUUCCUCAUUUCUUUACCCUGCUCUGUGUUCUAGGAGGCUAACGCCCACGGACUACACUAAUGGACAUCUUUGUUGUGACUUCCACUGAAUGUCGGCCAGUGAGAGUUGAAGUUCAAAGGAACCAUGACCUCAUCAUUUGACAACAAUUUCCAUUCCUUGGGCACUAGACUUCCAAACCUGUGGAUCCAGGGCCCUGGGAGAAAAGAAACAGAUUCUUCUAGUGGGUUAAUUGGUAUAAAAAGGAAUGGCCACUCCCACCUACACCUCUUGGGUCCUGAGCACAAAUUCUGUCUCUGGGGUAGAAGGCCCUAUAUGUUGGCCCCAGGGGAGGAUGCAGCCAACCCAAGGCCACCUGUCAGGAGGGAACCCUGAGCUCACUCUGCUCCCAACUCCCAGCCUCCUCCUGAUGCUUCCAUUGACCGCUUCCAAACAGUAACCAAAGGAUAAGGAAGACCAUCCAUGCGGUCCAUGAGGGUCCACCUCGUAAUGCCCAGAAUGAGGUAAAGAAAGAUGGACAGUCCAUCUGGAGGAGCAAAAGGAAGAAAUCAAGCAGAUGGUCACUUAAGUGGGUUAUGUUUUCCACCAAAUAAGUAAAAUAAGCUGGGGAAUAGGGGGCCACUUUGAAUUUGCUUAAUGUUUGUUAACUUUUCAAGAAUAUAUGUCGGCAUUUGUGAGCAAAUUUGGGUUGUCUCAGACCUGCUGCCCUACCCAGUGGAGCCUUGUCAGGACACUAUGAGGGCCACUCAUGAAGCCAUGGCUAAGGGUCACAGUGGGCACGCAUCUGAAUGAGUUCCUUUGUGGACAUUCUGCCCCAGGACCCUUCCUGCUAGUGGAAGGGAAAAAGCUAACAAAAAUCACAUAUCUUCUCUGUUUAGUGAGCUAGUUUUAGCAGAAAGUGUCAGGGAAAAUACACGGAGAGCACUCAAAAUCCCAUAACCAGACUUAAACACUCACAAUGUGCAAAGAGGAUGAUGCUUUGGAAAUCUGUAGCUGGAAGAGUUUUAUUUUCCCAUAUACAUCAUGUCACUGGGAGCCUUUCUCAGGUUACACCAAACAUUGACAGAUACCAUCCACAAAAGCAGGCAGUGGCUGUGCCCAGAAUAAGCUCAUUUUAAAAGUUAAUCAUGAGUUGGGGCGCCUGGGUGGCUCAGUCGGUUAAGCGUCCGACUUCGGCCCAGGUCAUGAUCUCGUGGUCUGUGAGUUCAAGCCCCGCGUCGGGCUCUGUGCUGACAGCUCAGAGCCUGGAGCCUGCUUCAGAUUCUGUGUCUCCCUCUCUCUCUGACCCUCCCCUGUUCAUGCUCUGUCUCUGUCUCAAAAAUAAAUAAACGUUAAAAAAAAAAAAGUUAAUCAUGAGAUAGUGAGUUUGAAAGUCAAAUUUAAUUGGAAAAAAAGGGGUUUUCUAAAUUUCCCAAUCUCCUAUUUGAUACAUUGGUAUGCAAGCCUAGCAAAUUAGGAACACAGAAAUUCACUAUUGGUGCUAGAUACAGAUAAGUGGGGGCGUGGUGUCCACAAAGUUUGCACGCACCCCGAGACGAAAGGCUAGGGGUUGGCAUGUGGUGUGAGAUGUUGGGGAGAGAGAAAGUGAAGGUACUUUCUGGUUCCCUUGUCUCUGAGAGCCUUGCCCCGCAAAGGAUAGAAACUUCUUCAACAGAAACCCAAAACACGGGGGGGGGGGGGGGGGGGGGGCGGAGAACCUGAGAAUAUCUGCCUGAUGUCAAGCUCUGGAACACGGCCCUAGAAGAACACCACCAACAGUGGAGACAUCGGCACAGACCAGCCCAAACCAGCCCUGACUGUCCCUCCGGGCGGCACGGGCUGGUGAUCCAGAUGCUUCUUAGCAUCUGUGAGAGGGUCAGGGCGCUGAGGGGACCACAGGAGGCAGCAGCUGGGAUCUGGAUGAGAAGCUGAGGUGGGAGCUUUGCAUUCCAAGCCGUGCUGUGAGUCGAAAUGGAUUCAUGGGAUUGAUGUUCCCAUCACCUGACAAAUAUUCUCCAGACAAAUCAGAAACCUCAGAAACUGCAUGGAUGAUGCCCCUGCUUCCAUGGCAGCCUCCUGCGCCAGCUUCCCAUUGACCGGAUCGCCUCCUGAUGACAGCCGCUGUCUGGGCUUGUGGAGAGCAACCUGAGUGUGUCAGGGACCCUCAGCAUUUCGUCCUGAGAUGUCCAGGGAGUCUGGGUGACACAGGCCGCAUGACAAAUGGACUGGGAUGGAGGGAGGGCAGGCGACUGCGGUCCCAGACGGGACUCGAGGGCCGGGUGCUGCGCCACACGAAGGCAGACGGAGACUGGUGCUGCUGGGAUACAAGUGCCCGGAGGAGCACCCUUGUGUGCGGUUCUGCGACCUCGCCAGGGUCUGCGCGUGCCUGGUGGGUAAUGCAGCUUCGGUACCCACUCGCUGAACGGAUGUGUGAAUAGAUGAAUCUUAGGGAGCAGUACUGAGCAAGCACAUUCAGGGUACUUCCUGUGAUGAAUCCUCAUCCGUGCAUUCUAGAGCCUUGAGAGACAUACGUACACACAGACACAUACAUACCUGUGUGCACAUACAUGUAGGCACAUUAUUAUUACAGAGUGGUAUGUAACAUGUAUGUUACACAUACAUACUAUGUUAUAAUAAGUUUAAAUGGAAGAGAAAAAGUAUCCUACUUAGGAACAUAGGUUCCAGACAUAGAUCCUCUGCUGCAUCCAGACAUAGAUCUUCUGCUGCAAAUUACUAUAUUUUUUAAUGUUUUAUUUAUUUUUGAGAGAGAGGGAGAGAGAAAAAACAUGAGUGGGGGAGGGGCAGAGAGAAAGAGGGAGACAUAGAAUCCAAAGCAGGCUCCAGGCUCUGAGCUGUCAGGACAGAGCCCGAUGCGGGGCUUGAACUCAUGAACUGUGAGAUCAUGACCUGAGCCAAAGUCAGACGCUUAACCCACUGAGCUACCCAGGUGCCCCUCCCUCUCUGUUCUAAACCAGUAAAGGAUUUCAGUCUUUUAACAGGAAAAUGGCUUCCUUACAGUUAUAUCAUUGGAUAGUCACAAUCACACAGUAAUGAGAGAAAUCUGCUGAUGAAGUGAGUUACCAGCCCUAUUUUGCAGGAUGAUUUGGGGUAAAUACUGUGGGUCUCUUCCUCUGGUUCUUAGCUGUGUGCUCAGAGCGCCCCUUCUUCUUACUGCGACAGCCACCAGAUCUGCGCUGUGAUCAGCCCCGUAUUCAACCACCUCUCCUGACAAGUGCUGGCAGAAUGUGGUUCCUGUCCUGGCUCAUCCUGGUGGCCUCCCUUGGCAGCAUACAAAUGCAGACAUUUUAAUAACACGACGCUUACCAUCCAUUACCAAGAAAAAAGGAAACACAGCAUUUUUAGUAUGGCAAGUAAAAACAGGUGUCUUAAGGAAGAAUGUAAAUAUAGAGUCUUAUUGACAGAGGCCAGACCAGCCUCUAAACCAAAUUCUAUGUAUUUCUUCAAAUGCAUAUGUGACCACAAAGUGUUAGUGAAGAAAGGAAAUGAAGCCAGGAAAGGACAGAGGGAUUUGCCAGCGAGCCUGAGGAUACACCGAGUUAAUGAGGCAGGUGCUGGGCUGUAUGACUGCACCUGCUGGGAUCCACUGUAUGGAAAUGCGCCACUGACGCUGAACAGAAGCCCUCCCACUAUGCCAUACCCCCGAAAACAUAUACCCACGCCUUUCUAGCUCCCAAGGACCUGGCCACUGUCUAUACAGGACUUGUCUCCUGCAUCUGUGUCCUCAGCAAGGUCUGCACUAGGAGCCCAAGGAUGCAAUCUGUGAUGUUUCUUUCAGUUAGGUCACUCGAUUCUUAUCACUGUUGGGGACUGAAUGGCUUUUGUAAGUGUCCUGAAUUUUCUACUUCUCCAUUGAUGAGAAGCUUCCUGAGAAGGAAGCCAUGUCCAGUGUGCAAAAUGGUUUGCUGAAUGAAUAAUGAAUGAAUGAAUGAAUAGGAGAAUGAUGAAAACCACAAGGCCUCUGUUGUUUUUCUUUGUUUGCUUGAGAAAGAGAGAGAGAGAGAGAGAGAGAGAGCAUGAGCAGGGGAAGGACAGAGAGAGAAGGAGACACAGGACCCAAAGCACACUCCAGGCUCCUAGCUGUCAGCACAGAGCCUGAUGCGGGGCUCGAACUCAUGAACCUCGAGAUCAUGACCUGAGCUGAAGUCAGAUGCUUAACCAACUGAGCCACCCAGGGGCCCCCAUAAGGCCUUUGGAGUGAUAAAAACCUGGAUUUGAAUUCCUGCUCAGCCACUUAACUGACAGCACGAUCCAGGAACGUUACCAAAUCUUUCUCAUAGGGUUGCUGGGGACCGAAAGAGGUUCCACACAGGACAGUGCGAGCACAGGGUCAGCACAUCACAGUGUCAGUUCCCAUUACAGCUAAACGGCUUCCCUGAGCCAUCUCAGCUAAUACAGGAGCUCAGGGACUCUUUAAAAGUCACAUCUUGGGGCGCCUGGGUAUCUCAGUCGGUUGAGUGUCCGACUUCGGCUCAGGUCAUGAUCUCGCAGUUCGUGAGUUCGAGCCCCGCGUCAGGCUCUGUGCUGAGAGCUUAGGGCCUGGAGCCUGCUUCGGAUUCUGGGUCUCCCUCUCUCUCUGCCCCUCCCCCGCUCAUGGUCUGUCUCUCUGUCUGUCAAAAAUAAAUAAACAUUAAA
Neofelis nebulosa (Clouded leopard) is the source of this 5149-nucleotide long non-coding RNA. RefSeq lists it as uncharacterized. The record is from RefSeq and is a predicted model, not a curated record. The transcript has 4 exons. NCBI's taxonomy places the organism in Eukaryota, Metazoa, Chordata, Mammalia, Carnivora, Felidae.